CUAAUUUACUCAAAUCAACUCAUACAAGAUGGAUUCAGGUCAGAUGUGUGCAGUUAAAUGGCUUAUACUUAGCAUAUGUAUUUAGCGCUUAUCUACCUUCCUUGAAGGCCCAAAGCGCUUUACAGUCACAGUCCCAUUCACCCAAUCACACACACACUUUAACACACUAAUGGCAGCUCCACUGCCAAACAUUGGCGCCAACCUUCCACCAGAGGCAAGGUGGGGUUCAGUGUCUUGCCCAUGGACACGUUGACAUAUGGGCGGGCAAUGUGGGAAUCAAACCUGCAAUCUUCAGAUGACAGUUCGACUGCCCUACCACUGCACCGUUACUGUCAAAAUUAAGUGGAUUUGUAAAAAAAAAAAGCUCAUACAUGCUCUUUCACAGAUUCUAAAGUCUUUUUAAAGCCAGCAGAUGUGUGUGCACAUGAGAACGUGUGACAGAUGGAGUGUUCCAUGGUCAUCGUGGAAACUAGCAGGCAGAACUAUAUGCCUCAGGGGAUAGACUUUCAGUAAUGACUGAAAACGUUCUCAAAGGUGACAUGAGGACUUUCAUUUAUUCACUAACUUUGUACUCUCUGUACUUUUAUGGUUAACAUGUUGCAUCCUAUUCCAGCAGGGGUUGCUACAAUUGUAGUCCACGUUUCCGUAAUAAAAAAAUAAAAUAUUCAUCUUUUUUUCUCCUUUAUUUUCUUCAGAGUUUGCCGGGGCCUCCUGGACUGAGAGGUCCAACUGUAAGACUUCUUUUUUCCUAAUGACCUAACACAACUGCAAUGCAGAUGCUCUUGAUAUGAAGUCGUGUAAAAGGAUGUGCUGAAACAAGAAUGUACUAUAUUUAGGAAAACCCACAGGAUUUUUCUCUAUGCAGGGCUUCCGUGGCCCUGAUGGUCCUCAAGGUUUUCCAGGUCCAAGUGGACCUGAAGGAUUCCCGGGCCUCCCCGGUCCUCCUGGCCCCCCAGGCCCAAUAGAAACCGGCUUUGACGGACAGGGAGCAGGAGAAAAGGGAGAUAAGGGCGACGUGGGUCUUCCCGGACCCAGUGGUGCUCCCGGAAGCGGGUCUCUAACAGCCCCAAAAAUUCUCACUAUCUACAAGGGAGAUAAGGUAACAGCAGUAAGGGAAGGGGCAAGCAGCAGCACUUUUACACAUGCACCCCGUGUGCACACACACACACACACACACACACACAUGCACAUAUGA
RNAcentral lists this long non-coding RNA (1195 nucleotides) under Oryzias sinensis (Chinese medaka). RNAcentral describes it as "lncRNA (ENSOSIG00000017843.1)". The record is from RNAcentral. Lineage: Eukaryota; Metazoa; Chordata; Actinopteri; Beloniformes; Adrianichthyidae.